CAGUCGACGAAACUUCUUUAUCACCGAGUGCUUGCACUCACCGAUAAAGAGUUGAGUGGCGAACGGGUGAGUAACACGUGGGCAACCUGCCCAAAAGAGGGGGAUAACACUUGGAAACAGGUGCUAAUACCGCAUAACCAUAGUUACCGCAUGGUAACUAUGUAAAAGGUGGCUAUGCUACCGCUUUUGGAUGGGCCCGCGACGCAUUAGCUAGUUGGUGGGGUAAAGGCUUACCAAGGCAAUGAUGCGUAGCCGAACUGAGAGGUUGAUCGGCCACAUUGGGACUGAGACACGGCCCAAACUCCUACGGGAGGCAGCAGUAGGGAAUCUUCCACAAUGGGCGAAAGCCUGAUGGAGCAACGCCGCGUGGGUGAAGAAGGUCUUCGGAUCGUAAAACCCUGUUGUUAGAGAAGAAAGUGCGUGAGAGUAACUGUUCACGUUUCGACGGUAUCUAACCAGAAAGCCACGGCUAACUACGUGCCAGCAGCCGCGGUAAUACGUAGGUGGCAAGCGUUAUCCGGAUUUAUUGGGCGUAAAGAGAACGCAGGCGGUCUUUUAAGUCUGAUGUGAAAGCCUUCGGCUUAACCGGAGUAGUGCAUUGGAAACUGGGAGACUUGAGUGCAGAAGAGGAGAGUGGAACUCCAUGUGUAGCGGUGAAAUGCGUAGAUAUAUGGAAGAACACCAGUGGCGAAAGCGGCUCUCUGGUCUGUAACUGACGCU
Molecule: ribosomal RNA, 720 nt
Filed under: uncultured bacterium
Lineage: Bacteria
Description: bacterial SSU rRNA
Rfam family: Bacterial small subunit ribosomal RNA
Source: RNAcentral